GGGGCGUAGCUCAGCUGGUUAGAGCGCAUGCUUGACAUGCAUGAGGUCGUUGGUUCGACUCCAAUCGUCCCC
Molecule: transfer RNA, 72 nt
Filed under: bovine gut metagenome
Rfam family: tRNA
About the family: Transfer RNA (tRNA) molecules are approximately 80 nucleotides in length. Their secondary structure includes four short double-helical elements and three loops (D, anti-codon, and T loops).
Source: RNAcentral